GACGAACGCUGGCGGCGUGCUUAACACAUGCAAGUCGAACGCUGAACCCGCUUCGGUGGGGGAUGAGUGGCGAACGGGUGAGUAACACGUGGGCAACCUGCCCCCGGCUCUGGGAUAACUCCAAGAAAUUGGGGCUAAUACCGGAUGUGACCGCUGGCCGCAUGGUCUGGUGGUGGAAAGGGUUUCCGGCUGGGGAUGGGCCCGCGGCCUAUCAGCUUGUUGGUGGGGUAGUGGCCUACCAAGGCGACGACGGGUAGCCGGCCUGAGGGGGUGACCGGCCACACUGGGACUGAGACACGGCCCAGACUCCUACGGGAGGCAGCAGUGGGGAAUAUUGCGCAAUGGGCGGAAGCCUGACGCAGCGACGCCGCGUGGGGGAUGACGGCCUUCGGGUUGUAAACCUCUUUCAGCAGGGACGAAGCGCAAGUGACGGUACCUGCAGAAGAAGCACCGGCCAACUACGUG
This 465-nucleotide ribosomal RNA is filed under the name uncultured bacterium. RNAcentral's name for it is "partial 16S ribosomal RNA". It matches the Rfam family "Bacterial small subunit ribosomal RNA", at positions 28 to 507 of the family's 1533-position model. The record is from RNAcentral.